GAUGAACGCUCUUGUAAGGCCUAACACAUGCAAGUCGAGCGGUAUUUGGUAGCUUGCUACUAGAGAGAGCGGCGUACGGGUGCGUAACAUGUGUGCAACCUACCCUUAUCAAGGGGAUAGCCAUUCCAAAGGAUGAUUAAUACCCUAUAAUAUAUCAGGUGGCAUCAUUUGAUAUUGAAAGCUACGGUGGAUAAGGAUGGGCACGCACAAGAUUAGCUAGUUGGUAAGGUAACGGCUUACCAAGGCAAUGAUCUUUAGGGGUCCUGAGAGGGAGAUCCCCCACACUGGGACUGAGACACGGCCCAAACUCCUACGGGAGGCAGCAGUGAGGAAUAUUGGACAAUGGGUGGGAGCCUGAUCCAGCCAUUCCGCGUGCAGGAAGAAGGUCUUAUGGAUUGUAAACUGCUUUUAUAUAGGGAUAAACCUACUCUCACGAGGGUAGCUGAAAGUACUGUAUGAAUAAGCCCCGGCUAACUCCGUGCCAGCAGCGGCGGUAUUACCGAGGGUGCGAGCGUUAUGCGGACUUAUUGGGCCUAAAGGGUCCUAGGCGGAUUAUUAAGUCAGUGGUGAAAUCUCAUAGCUCAACUAUGAAACUGCCAUUGAUACUGAUAGUCUUGAGUAUAUUUGAAGUAGCUGGAAUAAGUAGUGUAGCGGUGAAAUGCAUAGAUAUUACUUAGAACACCAAUAGCGAAGGCAGGUUACUAAGAUAUUACUGACGCUGAGGGACGAGAGCGUAGGGAGCGAACAGGAUUAGAUACCCUGGUAGUCUACGCUGUAAACGAUGCUAACUCGUUUUUGGUAUUUAGGUAUCAGAGACUAAGCGAAAGUGAUAAGUUAGCCACCUGGGGAGUACGCUCGCAAGAGUGAAACUCAAAGGAAUUGACGGGGGCCCGCACAAGCGGUGGAUUAUGUGGUUUAAUUCGAUGAUACGCGAGGAACCUUACCAAGACUUAAAUGGGAAUUGACAGCUAUAGAGAUAUGGUUUUCUUCGGACAAUUUUCAAGGUGCUGCAUGGUUGUCGUCAGCUCGUGCCGUGAGGUGUUAGGUUAAGUCCUGCAACGAGCGCAACCCUUGUCACUAGUUGCCAUCAUUAAGUUGGGGACUCUAGUGAGACUGCCUACGCAAGUAGAGAGGAAGGUGGGGAUGACGUCAAAUCAUCACGGCCCUUACGUCUUGGGCCACACACGUAAUACAAUGGGCGAUACAGAGGGCAGCUACACAGCGAUGUGAUGCGAAUCUCGAAAGUCGUUCUCAGUUCGGAUUGGAGUCUGCAACUCGACUCUAUGAAGUUGGAAUCGCUAGUAAUCGCGUAUCAGCCAUGACGCGGUGAAUACGUUCCCGGGCCU
RNAcentral lists this ribosomal RNA (1346 nucleotides) under uncultured bacterium. RNAcentral describes it as "bacterial SSU rRNA". It matches the Rfam family "Bacterial small subunit ribosomal RNA", at positions 28 to 1381 of the family's 1533-position model. The record is from RNAcentral.